UGGGGAAUAUUGGACAAUGGGCGAAAGCCUGAUCCAGCAAUGCCGCGUGUGUGAAGAAGGUCUUCGGAUUGUAAAGCACUUUCGACGGGGACGAUGAUGACGGUACCCGUAGAAGAAGCCCCGGCUAACUUCGUGCCAGCAG
RNAcentral lists this ribosomal RNA (142 nucleotides) under uncultured bacterium. RNAcentral's name for it is "partial 16S ribosomal RNA". It matches the Rfam family "Bacterial small subunit ribosomal RNA", at positions 355 to 514 of the family's 1533-position model. The record is from RNAcentral.